GAUGAAGAACGUAGCGAAAUGCGAUAAGUAGUGUGAAUUGCAGAAUUCAGUGAAUCAUCGAAUCUUUGAACGCACAUUGCGCCCCUUGGUAUUCCAUGGGGCAUGCCUGUUCGAGCGUCAUUUGUACCUUCAAGCUCAGCUUGGUGUUGGGUGUCUGUCCCCGCCUCCGCGGGGACUCGCCUCAAAAUCAUUGGCGGCCGGUACGUUGGCUUCGAGCGCAGCAGAAACGCGAACUCGAGGCCCGGCGGAUCGGCGACCAGAAGUCUCUUCUUCACAGUUUGACCUCGGAUCAGGUAGGGAUACCCGCUGAACUUAAGCAUAUCAAUAAGCGGAGGA
Molecule: unclassified non-coding RNA, 336 nt
Filed under: soil metagenome
Description: partial contains 5.8S ribosomal RNA, internal transcribed spacer 2, and large subunit ribosomal RNA
Rfam family: 5.8S ribosomal RNA (bases 1-120)
Source: RNAcentral